UACAGAGGUCUCAAGCGUUGUUCGGAUUCAUUGGGCGUAAAGGGUGCGUAGGCGGCUCUGUAAGUCGGGUGUGAAAUCUCGGGGCUUAACUCCGAAACUGCAUUCGAUACUGCCGUGCUUGAGGACUGGAGAGGAGAAUGGAAUUUACGGUGUAGCGGUGAAAUGCGUAGAUAUCGUAAGGAAGACCAGUGGCGAAGGCGGGUCUCUGGACAGUUACUGACGCUGAGGCACGAAGGCCAGGGGAGCAAACGGG
This 253-nucleotide ribosomal RNA is filed under the name uncultured bacterium. Its description in RNAcentral is "partial 16S ribosomal RNA". It matches the Rfam family "Bacterial small subunit ribosomal RNA", at positions 524 to 776 of the family's 1533-position model. The record is from RNAcentral.